Long non-coding RNA from Cynoglossus semilaevis (tongue sole), 790 nucleotides. RefSeq lists it as uncharacterized. The transcript is spliced from 2 exons. NCBI's taxonomy places the organism in Eukaryota, Metazoa, Chordata, Actinopteri, Pleuronectiformes, Cynoglossidae. The record is from RefSeq and is a predicted model, not a curated record.
UAUCUGAGAUACCAGUGCUUGAAGAUGUAACUUUGUGUGCAUGAGCUAUAAGACAACAGUGAAACCAACUCAUUCAGGUGGUUUCUGUUUCAUUACCCAGAACUGGUGUGAAUGGAGUUGUACUUCCUACCUGUAUCACUGACAGCAUUCUUAAAUUCAAGAAGAGUAAAAGUGCCUCCAAUAAGUGAUCUUUCUUUUGCAAGAGGUGACGUAGCUUCACCUGAGAAGUGCCUUUAUCCUAGUACUUUGUCAAAUCGUCCCUGUAAAUUUGACUUCAAAAAGCUCAGAUGUCGUCUGGACAUGGAAAAAAAAUCCCUGCCAAUUGUGAAAUUGAAACUUACUGUCUUGACCACUAGAGGGAGCUGUAGUGUGCAUUCACCAGGCGUUGCUGUUGUGACCUUUUCAUACCUGUUUACUUAACGCGGAGAAGGUGAGUUAUGAUUUCACUGUGACAAUGAUUGUCAUUUUUCCUUGAAGAUAUUACAGGUAUUAAAUGUUGCCAUAUUCACUGAUGCUUCUUUUUUUUUAACCAGUUUGUUGAAAAUCGUUUUAAACUGAGUCAGUCUCCUAUUAGCAACCUAGGUCAUAAGCUUGUGCUGCAUGAUGGAUUCACGGUUGGAGCUGCUGCCUUACAGCGAGAGGGAACUGUGUCAUGCACCGACAGGUUGUAUGUUUCUCUGUUUUCUCCUCUGUGGACAAAGAGAAUUGUUUUGUUUUUUUAAUUUUCUAAACGACUGUGUUAUUGUUCCAACAUUGUACCAACAUAAAACAAAGAGGUAAAAAAAUGAAA